GCCUUGGCUCCAGCAGUGAGGAAUCCACAACAUCACAGUCACCCCGUGUGUGUUGACAAGUCCCUUGCAGAAGGAGCUUGUGUGGAAAGGACAUGCAGACAGCUACAGCUGUUGUCACUAAUGCUCUGUAGAUCAAGUCCAGGGACCAAUGGCUUCAUUCCACAGCAACGAUGGGCACAGCAGUGUCGGAGCAAACUGUUCAGAGCGAGGCACCGCUUGUUUCCUAAACACGGCAGCUCUAUGAGGCAGGGGCCUUGCACACUUUUCCAGACUUGGGAAAAAUUAGAUCAAUAAAAUCUUUAAAAGAACUCCUCAGGAGACGGUGGCAGCAGCAGCUAAGAUGGAAAAGGCAUAUGGAAUCCUGACACCGACUGCUUUGGGUAUCUCUGAAAAGGAGAGAACCGGGGCUGGGGUACUUAACUGAGCCAUCUUUCAUUUUAAUAAUAGCCUUUAUGGACUGCAGUAAGAAGGCAUCAAAGUUCAUUAAAUGUAAUGGGCUGAUCCUGCCAGGGACAAGGAAGGGAGACAGUCAUUCUGAGGGGUUGGCCUUUGAAACACUUCAAUUUCGAUCGUCGGUGUUCCGGUUCACAAGGCUGGGGUCAGCCCGUGGAUGAACACUGUGCAGGAGAGAGAAGGGCCCUGGGUCAGAUGGCAUGGGCUGGGUGGGGAUGGGAGUUCCAGGAAGAUCAAGAUCAUGGCCAAGAAUCUGGAUUUUGUGGUUGUGUUAGCUCUUUCUCUUAUUGCGGUGGUGAAGUACCCCAACAGAGGCAAUUUAAGGAAGGGACGUUUUAUUUUGGCUCACAGUUUGAGAGCAUAGUCCAUCAUGGUGGGGAGUCAGGGUAGCAGAAGUGUGUUGGGGUUGUCCUCGUGCUCUGUGCUUUCAGAUGCUGAUCUCUGCGCCCCCAGAUCCAGUUACAGCCAGGACACGGAGCAUCAUCGUCGUGAAUAUUGUAUUGUGAAUAAGAAUCUCCUCUAUCGGUGUGGAGUGAAGACAAUGCUCCCCAGUUAUCUCUGAUUGAUAAUAAAAGGCUGAACAGCCGAGGACUGGGCAGAGGAGAUAGAAAGACUGCACUGCCGAUCCCAGCCAGGCGUCCCCGGAAGAAGGAAUUCACCACAAGAAGAGGGCCAGGAGAAGAAGGGCCCCAAGGUGGAAAAAGAAGAUGGUCGCCUGAGGUUGGGCAGGAGGAGGAGUCACCAAGGGAGUUCUGCAUGAGGACGGACAGCUACAACAGAGCCAGCCAAGAAGAGACUGAAUACAAGUAACUUGGGGUGUGUGCUGCGAAGUAGCUAGAUAGUAUGGAGAGUUAGGACUAUCUGCUCAGUUAUUGUGCUUAAAGCUUGUUGCCUAAGUC
RNAcentral lists this long non-coding RNA (1352 nucleotides) under Mus musculus (house mouse). Its description in RNAcentral is "long non-coding RNA chr12:106158776-106160128". The record is from RNAcentral. Lineage: Eukaryota; Metazoa; Chordata; Mammalia; Rodentia; Muridae.